RNAcentral lists this small nuclear RNA (108 nucleotides) under Trifolium pratense (red clover). The record is from RNAcentral. Lineage: Eukaryota; Viridiplantae; Streptophyta; Magnoliopsida; Fabales; Fabaceae.
GUCCCUUAGGGGACAUCCGAUAAAAUUGGAACGAUACAGAGAAGAUUAACAUGACCCCUACACAAGAAUGACACGCACAAAUCGAGAAAUGGUCCAAAAAAUAUUUUU